Molecule: ribosomal RNA, 253 nt
Filed under: uncultured bacterium
Lineage: Bacteria
Description: partial 16S ribosomal RNA
Rfam family: Bacterial small subunit ribosomal RNA
Source: RNAcentral
UACAUGGGGUGCAAACGUUGCUCGGAAUCAUUGGGCGUAAAGCGCACGUAGGCGGUUACUUAAGUCGAAUGUGAAAGCCCUCGGCUUAACCGAGGAAGUGCAUCCGAAACUGAGUAGCUAGAGUACGAAAGAGGGUCGCGGAAUUCCCGGUGUAGAGGUGAAAUUCGUAGAUAUCGGGAGGAACACCGGUGGCGAAGGCGGCGACCUGGGUCGAGACUGACGCUGAGGCGCGAAAGCGUGGGGAGCAAACAGG